GACGAACGCUGGCGGCGUGCUUAACACAUGCAAGUCGAACGGAAAGGCCCUGCUUUUGUGGGGUGCUCGAGUUACGAACGGGUGAGUAACACGUGAGUAACCUGCCCUUGACUGUGGGAUAACUUCAUGAAACUGGGGCUAAUACCGGAUAGGAGCUCCUGCUGCAUGGUGGGGGUUGGAAAGUUUCGUCGGUUGGGGAUGGACUCGCGUCGGAUUAGCUUGUUGGUAGGGUAGUGGCCGACCAAGGCGUCCAUGCAUAGCUGGGCGGAGAGGAUGACCAGCCACACUUGGACUGAGACACGGCCCAGACUCCGACGGGAGGCAGCAGUGGGGAAUAUUGUACGAGGGACGAAAGUCUAAUCCAGCAGUGCCGCGUGAGUGAUGAAGGCCUUAGUGUUGUAAAGCUCUUUUACCCGGGAUGAUAAUGACAGUACCGGGAAAAUAAGCACCGGCUAACUACGUG
This 463-nucleotide ribosomal RNA is filed under the name uncultured bacterium. RNAcentral describes it as "partial 16S ribosomal RNA". It matches the Rfam family "Bacterial small subunit ribosomal RNA", at positions 28 to 507 of the family's 1533-position model. The record is from RNAcentral.